RNAcentral lists this unclassified non-coding RNA (343 nucleotides) under soil metagenome. RNAcentral describes it as "partial contains 5.8S ribosomal RNA, internal transcribed spacer 2, and large subunit ribosomal RNA". The stretch from base 1 to 120 matches the Rfam family "5.8S ribosomal RNA", at positions 35 to 154 of the family's 154-position model. The record is from RNAcentral.
GAUGAAGAAGGUAGCGAAAUGCGAUAAGUAAUGUGAAUUGCAGAAUUCAGUGAAUCAUCGAAUCUUUGAACGCACAUUGCGCCCGCCAGCAUUCUGGCGGGCAUGCCUGUUCGAGCGUCAUUUCAACCCUCGAGCCCCCCCGGGGGCCUCGGUGUUGGGGGACGGCACACCAGCCGCCCCCGAAAUGCAGUGGCGACCCCGCCGCAGCCUCCCCUGCGUAGUAGCACACACCUCGCACCGGAGCGCGGAGGCGGUCACGCCGUAAAACGCCCAACUUUCUUAGAGUUGACCUCGGAUCAGGUAGGAAUACCCGCUGAACUUAAGCAUAUCAAUAAGCGGAGGA